GGAGGACUAUUCUUUUUUUUCAAUUGCGUUGACCCAGCUGCAUAGAUUAUUUGAAUUAUGCCUACUAUGAUCAACCAGGGUUCAAAGAUAGAAUGGGCGUGGGGUAAUAAUUCCAUAUUGAUCCGAACCAAUCCAUAUGCUCCCAUUUUGAAUAAGAUUCCGGCUAGAAGCAUACAAGUACUGUAAUGUGCCUCUCCGUGGGUAUCUGGUAACCAUGUAUGUAAGGGUAUAAUCGGUGAUUUGACAGCAAAAGCAAUAAGAAAUCCGAUAUAGAAUAGUAUUUCCAGUGCUAUAGGAUACGAUUGAUUAGCUGAUGUUUCAAAAUUGAAAGUUGGUUCAUUAGAACCAUAUAAACCGAUACCCAGAACUCCCAUUAACAAAAAAAUGGAACCUCCCGCAGUGUACAAAAUCAACUUUGUAGCUGAAUACAACCGUUUCUUUCCGCCCCACAUCGAUAGAAGUAGAUAAACGGGAAUUAAUUCUAACUCCCACAUGAGAAAAAAUAGUAAGAGGUCUCGAGCAGAAAAUGAUCCUAUUUGACCGCUAUACAUUGCUAACAUUAGAAUAUACAUUGCUAACAUUAGAAAAUGGAAUAAUCGGGAAUCUCGAGUAACUGGCCAAGCCGCUAAAGUAGCUAAAGUGGUGAUAAACCCCGUCAGUAAAAUGGGUCCUAUGGAAAGUCCAUCGAUUCCCAAUCUCCAGUAAAAAUCCAAAAAAGGGAUCCUCUGGAUUAAUGGAUCGUCUAAUUCUCAAUGAUAACAAAACGCAUAGGUUCUUAGAAGCAGCUCGAGUACACAGAUACAUAUAGUAUACCAUCUCAUGACUUUAUUUCCUCUAUGAGGGAAAAAGAAAAGUAAUAAACCCGCAAAUAUUGGAAAAACUACAACUAGAAAAUAAUUCGUAGUAAAAACAAGAAUGAAAGAAAAAAAAUAUAUAUAUGGGUCAAAAAGAAAGAAAAUGUAUUCAAGGGGGCUUUUAGAGAACGUAUCAAUAAGCUAGACCCAUGCUUCGAGUUCUUUCAUGCCAUAAAUAAAGGCGAACACUCAAGAAAUCCGUCGGACAGGCAGAUUCACAUCUCUUACAACCAACACAGUCUUCCGUUCGUGGAGCCGAAGCUAUUUGCUUAGCUUUACAUCCGCCCCAAGGUCUCAUUUCUAAUACAUCUGUGGGGCAAGCUCGGACACAUUGAGUACACCCUAUACAUGUAUCAUAAAUCUUUACUGAAUGUGACAUUGGAUCUAUCAUUUUUUUUGAAGACGAUAAACGAGUCAAUUUGUAAAUGAAUUAUAUAUUUAGAUACCAGAUGACUCAGAAUUUUGAUAAUAAAUCUACUUUCAGAUUAACUCAUGCGAUAG
RNAcentral lists this long non-coding RNA (1355 nucleotides) under Cucumis sativus (cucumber). RNAcentral describes it as "long non-coding RNA (CSAT_LNC000004)". Lineage: Eukaryota; Viridiplantae; Streptophyta; Magnoliopsida; Cucurbitales; Cucurbitaceae. The record is from RNAcentral.